UUAAGUUCAGCGGGUAAUCCUGCCUGAUCUGAGGUCUAAAGUGCUCGAGUAAAACUAUUACAAUUCAACUAAUCCGAUUAGCGUCCCGAGUGAGGCGACUCUACAACACCCGGUCCAACCGCUAAAAUCGUCGGCUAGCCUACUGCAUUUAAGACCGGCAGGGCGAACCGGCCAAGUCCACGUUCCAAUCCACAUCACCA
RNAcentral lists this unclassified non-coding RNA (200 nucleotides) under fungal sp. RNAcentral describes it as "partial internal transcribed spacer 2". The record is from RNAcentral. Lineage: Eukaryota; Fungi.